UGGGGAAUAUUGGACAAUGGGGGCAACCCUGAUCCAGCAAUGCCGCGUGUGUGAAGAAGGCCUUCGGGUUGUAAAGCACUUUAGUUGGGGAAGAAGGCAUAUAGUUUAAGAGAUGAUAUGUUUGACGGUACCCAAAGAAUAAGCACCGGCUAACUCUGUGCCAGCAGCCGCGGUAAUACAGAGGGUGCGAGCGUUAAUCGGAAUUACUGGGCGUAAAGGGCGCGUAGGCGGAUUGUUAAGUGAGUAGUGAAAUACCCGGGCUUAACCUGGGGACUGCGACUUAAACUGAUGAUCUGGAGUAUGGCAGAGGGUAGAGGAAUUUCCGGUGUAGCGGUGAAAUGCGUAGAUAUCGGAAGGAACACCAGUGGCGAAGGCGGCUACCUGGACCAAUACUGACGCUGAGGCGCGAGAGCGUGGGGAGCAAACAGGAUUAGAUACCCCUGUAGUCC
This 449-nucleotide ribosomal RNA is filed under the name uncultured bacterium. RNAcentral's name for it is "bacterial SSU rRNA". It matches the Rfam family "Bacterial small subunit ribosomal RNA", at positions 355 to 796 of the family's 1533-position model. The record is from RNAcentral.